RNAcentral lists this ribosomal RNA (243 nucleotides) under uncultured anaerobic ammonium-oxidizing bacterium. RNAcentral's name for it is "partial 16S ribosomal RNA". It matches the Rfam family "Bacterial small subunit ribosomal RNA", at positions 439 to 673 of the family's 1533-position model. The record is from RNAcentral.
GGAGUUAUGAAAUGCAGGUUGGUUAAUACCCAACCUGUUUGACAAAGGCCCCAGAGGAAGCCACGGCUAACUCUGUGCCAGCAGCCGCGGUAAUACAGAGGUGGCAAGCGUUGUUCGGUAUUAUUGGGCGUAAAGAGCACGUAGGUGGUUUUGUAAGUCAGAUGUGAAAGCCUUCUGUUCAAAGAAAGAACGGCAUCUGAAACUGCAGAUCUUGAGUGUAGGAGGGGAGAGUGGAACUUCUGG